This 253-nucleotide ribosomal RNA is filed under the name uncultured bacterium. RNAcentral's name for it is "partial 16S ribosomal RNA". It matches the Rfam family "Bacterial small subunit ribosomal RNA", at positions 524 to 776 of the family's 1533-position model. The record is from RNAcentral.
UACGAACCGUCCAAACGUUAUUCGGAAUUAUUGGGCUUAAAGGGUGCGUAGGCUGUGCAGUAAGUUGGGUGUGAAAUCCCUCGGCUCAACCGAGGAACUGCGCCGAAUACUGCUGCGCUAGAGGAAGAUAGGGGUAAGCGGAACUGAUGGUGGAGCGGUGAAAUGCGUUGAUAUCAUCAGGAACACCGGUGGCGAAGGCGGCUUACUGGAUCUUUUCUGACGCUGAUGCACGAAAGCUAGGGGAGCGAACGGG